Molecule: ribosomal RNA, 490 nt
Filed under: uncultured bacterium
Lineage: Bacteria
Description: partial 16S ribosomal RNA
Rfam family: Bacterial small subunit ribosomal RNA
Source: RNAcentral
AUUGAACGCUGGCGGCAGGCCUAACACAUGCAAGUCGAACGGUAACAGGAAGAAGCUUGCUUCUUUGCUGACGAGUGGCGGACGGGUGAGUAAUGUCUGGGAAACUGCCUGAUGGAGGGGGAUAACUACUGGAAACGGUAGCUAAUACCGCAUAACGUCGCAAAACCAAAGAGGGGGACCUUCGGGCCUCUUGCCAUCGGAUGUGCCCAGAUGGGAUUAGCUAGUAGGUGGGGUAACGGCUCACCUAGGCGACGAUCCCUAGCUGGUCUGAGAGGAUGACCAGCCACACUGGAACUGAGACACGGUCCAGACUCCUACGGGAGGCAGCAGUGGGGAAUAUUGCACAAUGGGCGCAAGCCUGAUGCAGCCAUGCCGCGUGUAUGAAGAAGGCCUUCGGGUUGUAAAGUACUUUCAGCGGGGAGGAAGGGAGCAAAGUUAAUACCUUUGCUCAUUGACGUUACCCGCAGAAGAAGCACCGGCUAACUCCGUG